This 389-nucleotide ribosomal RNA is filed under the name Prymnesiophyceae sp. RNAcentral's name for it is "partial small subunit ribosomal RNA". It matches the Rfam family "Eukaryotic small subunit ribosomal RNA", at positions 582 to 975 of the family's 1831-position model. The record is from RNAcentral. Lineage: Eukaryota; Haptophyta.
AUUCCAGCUCCAAUAGCGUAUAUUAAUGUUGUUGCAGUUAAAACGCUCGUAGUCGGAUUUCGGGGCGGGGCAUCCGGUCUGCCGUUGGGUAUGCACUGGAUGCCGCGUCCUUCCUUCCGGAGACCGUUCCUACUCUUAACUGAGCGGGGUCGGGAGACGGAUCUUUUACUUUGAAAAAAUCAGAGUGUUUCAAGCAGGCAUAUCGCUUUUGCAUGGAUUAGCAUGGGAUAAUGAAAUAGGACUUUGGUGCUAUUUUGUUGGUUUCGAACACCGAAGUAAUGAUUAACAGGGACAGUCAGGGGCACUAAUAUUCCGUUGAGAGAGGUGAAAUUCUUAGACCAGCGGAAGAUUAACCACUGCGAAAGCAUUUGCCAGGGAUGUUUUCAUUA